AAAAUAAAAGAAAAGAAAAAUCAAAUGGAGUGGGUGGGGGUAGACAGCAUAAUACUUAUGCAAAGAGAGCCUCAUACCUGAGGCUCUAAAGGCCCAGGUUCAGGGUGUGUGUGUGUGUGUGUGUGUGUGUGUGUGUGUGUGUCUCGCACCACCAUCAGCCAAAGCUCAGCAGGUUGCUCUGUUAAAAAAAAAAAAAAAAUCAAA
Molecule: long non-coding RNA, 204 nt
Organism: Erinaceus europaeus (western European hedgehog)
Lineage: Eukaryota; Metazoa; Chordata; Mammalia; Eulipotyphla; Erinaceidae
Exons: 2
Source: RefSeq, a predicted model, not a curated record